RNAcentral lists this ribosomal RNA (253 nucleotides) under uncultured bacterium. RNAcentral's name for it is "partial 16S ribosomal RNA". It matches the Rfam family "Bacterial small subunit ribosomal RNA", at positions 524 to 776 of the family's 1533-position model. The record is from RNAcentral.
UACGUAGGGUGCGAGCGUUAAUCGGAAUUACUGGGCGUAAAGGGCGCGUAGGCGGCCUGCUAAGUCGAACGUGAAAUCCCUGGGCUCAACCCAGGAACUGCGUCCGAUACUGGUUGGCUUGAAUCCGGGAGAGGGACGUGGAAUUCCAGGUGUAGCGGUGAAAUGCGUAGAUAUCUGGAGGAACACCGGUGGCGAAGGCGACGUCCUGGACCGGCAUUGACGCUGAGGCGCGAAAGCCAGGGGAGCAAACGGG